Molecule: ribosomal RNA, 212 nt
Filed under: uncultured bacterium
Lineage: Bacteria
Description: partial 16S ribosomal RNA
Rfam family: Bacterial small subunit ribosomal RNA
Source: RNAcentral
UACAGAGGGUGCGAGCGUUAAUCGGAAUUACUGGGCGUAAAGCGUGCGUAGUCGGUUAUCUAAGUCGGGUGUGAAAAUCCCCCGGGCUCAACCUGGGAAUUGCAUUCGAUACUGGAUAGCUAGAGUUCGGCAGAGGGAAGCGGAAUUUCGGGGUGUAGCGGUGAAAUGCGUAGAUAUCCGAAGGAACAUCAGUGGCGAAAGCGACUCGACUG